Sapajus apella (tufted capuchin) is the source of this 2012-nucleotide RNA transcript. It is a transcript of the gene named triple functional domain protein pseudogene, with no coding region annotated. Lineage: Eukaryota; Metazoa; Chordata; Mammalia; Primates; Cebidae. The record is from RefSeq and is a predicted model, not a curated record. The transcript has a single exon.
UAAAAAUACAACUCUAAAGUAAUUUUCUAUAAUUAUCAGCCUUCUUACAGAGUGACUUCAGAAAAUGCCAGAGAAAUGCUUCAGUGUAUCCUCAGAUUCGGCAGCGUUGCUCCGAGGAGGAAGCCUAAUAGUGUUUGGCAGGGGAGUAGCCCAUUCCAUUUUCUGAGACAAGCAGUGCAGCUUCCUGCCAGCGCUCUUCCCGUGAAGAUUUGCGUGGCCGGAUCUGGUAUCUAACAAUGUGACUUUCUCAUCCAAUUCCUGUUCGUCUGUGUGCUCUCACAGGGACUCUGCCAUCUCCAGUAACAAGACCCCCCACAACAGCUCCAUCAACCACAUCGAGACGGUGCUGCAGCAGCUGGACGAGGUGCAGUCGCAGAUGGAGGAGCUCUUCCAGGAGCGCAAGAUCAAGCUGGAGCUCUUCCUGUAGCUGCGCAUCUUCGAGAGGGACGCCAUCGACAUUAUCUCAGACCUGGAGUCUUGGAAUGAUGAACUUUCUCAGCAAAUGAAUGACUUCGACACAGAAGAUCUCACGAUCGCAGAGCAGCGCCUCCAGCACCAUGCAGACAAAGCCUUGACCAUGAACAACUUGACUUUUGACAUCAUCCGUCAAGGACAAGAUCUUUUGCAGUACGUCAAUGAGGUCCAGGCCUCUGGAGUAGAGCUGCUUUGUGACAGAGAUGUAGAUAUGGCAACCCGCGUCCAGGACCUGCUGGAGUUUCUUCAUUAAAAACAGCAGGAAUUGGAUUUAGCCGCAGAGCAGCAUCGGAAACACCUGGAGCAGUGCGUGCAGCUGCGCCACCUGCAGGCAGAAGUGAAGCAGGUGCUGGGUUGGAUCCGCAGCGGAGAGUCGAUGUUAAGUGCUGGACCUACCAGCUCAUUACAAGAGGCUGAGCAGCUCCAACGAGAGCACGAGCAGUUCCAGCAUGCCAUCGAGAAAACACAUCAGAGCGCGCUGCACGUGCAGCAGAAGGCGGAAGCCAUGCUGCAGGCCAACCACUACGACAUGGACAUGAUCCGGAACUGUGCUGAGAAGGUGGCGUCACACUGGCAGCAGCUCAUGCUUAGGAUGGAAGAUCACCUCAAGCUUGUCAAUGCCUCUGUCGCUUUCUACAAAACCUCGGAGCAGGUGCAGCGUCCUUGAGAGCCUGGAACAGGAGUACAAGAGAGAAGAAGACUGGCGUGGUGGGGCAGAUAAACUGGGCCCCAACUCCAAGACGGACCGUGUGACGCCCAUGAUCAGCAAGCACCUGGAGCAGAAGGAGGCAUUCCAGAAGGCUUGCACACUUGCUCGGAGGAAUGCAGAUGUCUUCCUGAGAUACAUGCGCAGGAACAGUGUGAACAUGUCAGGAAUGGUGACGCACAUCAAAGCUCCUGAGCAGCAAGUGAAAAAUAUCUUGAAUGAGCUCUUCCAACGGGAGAACAGGGUAUUGCAUUAUUGGACCAUGAGGAAGAGACAGCUGGACCAGUGUCAGCAGUAUGUGGUUUUUGAGAGGAGUGCCAAGCAGGCUUUGGAAUAGAUCCAUGACAAUGGUGAGUUCUACCUUUCCACGCACACCUCCACAGUCUCCAGUAUACAGCACACCCAGGAGCUCCUAAAAGAGCAGGAGGAGUUCCAGAUACCUGCAAAGCAAACCAAAGAGAGGGUGAAGCUAUUGAUACAGCUGGCUGAUGGCUCUUGUGAAAAAGGGCAUGCCCAUGCGGCAGAGAUAAAAAAAUGUUACUGCUGUGGAUAAGAGGCGCAGAGAUUUAUCUCUGCAGAUGGAGAAGUACAGGACCUCUUUGGAGAAAGCCCUGGGGAUUUCUUCAGAUUCCAACAAAUUGAGUAAAAGUCUCCAGCUAGAUAUCAUUCCAGCCAGUAUCCCUGGCUCAGAGGUGAAGCUUCGAGAUGCUGCUCAUGAACUUAAUGAAGAGAAGUGGAAAUCUGCCCACAGGAAAGAGUUCAUAAUGGCUGAGCUCAUUCAAACUGAAAAGGCUUAUGUAAGAGACCUCCCGGAAUGUAUGGAUACAUUGUU